UGGGGAAUAUUGCGCAAUGGGGGGAACCCUGACGCAGCCAUGCCGCGUGAAUGAAGAAGGCCUUAGGGUUGUAAAGUUCUUUCGGUAUUGAGGAAGGUUGAUGUGUUAAUAGCACAUCAAAUUGACGUUAAAUACAGAAGAAGCACCGGCUAACUCCGUGCCAGCAGCCGCGGUAAUACGGAGGGUGCGAGCGUUAAUCGGAAUAACUGGGCGUAAAGGGCACGCAGGCGGUUAUUUAAGUGAGGUGUGAAAGCCCCGGGCUUAACCUGGGAAUUGCAUUUCAGACUGGGUAACUAGAGUACUUUAGGGAGGGGUAGAAUUCCACGUGUAGCGGUGAAAUGCGUAGAGAUGUGGAGGAAUACCGAAGGCGAAGGCAGCCCCUUGGGAAUGUACUGACGCUCAUGUGCGAAAGCGUGGGGAGCAAACAGGAUUAGAUACCCUGGUAGUCCACGCUGUAAACGCUGUCGAUUUGGGGGGUGGGGUUUAACUCUGGCGCCCGUAGCUAACGUGAUAAAUCGACCGCCUGGGGAGUACGGCCGCAAGGUUA
Molecule: ribosomal RNA, 547 nt
Filed under: uncultured bacterium
Lineage: Bacteria
Description: bacterial SSU rRNA
Rfam family: Bacterial small subunit ribosomal RNA
Source: RNAcentral